AAAGCGACAUCCGAAAAGCUUAAAAAAGAGUAGGAA
Non-coding RNA from Chryseobacterium sp., 36 nucleotides. The record is from Rfam. Lineage: Bacteria; Pseudomonadati; Bacteroidota; Flavobacteriia; Flavobacteriales; Weeksellaceae.